GAGGAAGUAAAAGUCAUAACAAGGUUUCCGUAGGUGAACCUGCGGAAGGAUCAUUAAUAGUGCCCUCUGAUGCAAAUCAUUGGGUUAGAUCUGCUCUCUUCGCAAGAAGAGGGUUUCCAUACACACCGUGAACUGUGGCUUCGGCCAUCACAAACUGUUAGUAAUGAAUGUAAUAUCAUAACAAAAACAAAACCUUUAACAACGGAUCUCUUGGCUCUCGCAUCGAUGAAGAACGCAGCGAAAUGCGAUAAGUAAUGUGAAUUGCAGAAUUCAGUGAAUCAUCGAAUCUUUGAACGCACCUUGCGCCCUUUGGUAUUCCGAAGGGCAUGCCUGUUUGAGUGUCAUGAAACCUCACCCCACUUGGGUUUUUGCCUGAGCGGUGGUGUAUUGGGUGUUGCCUUGCUAAAGGCUCGCCUUAAAGACAUAAGCACCUUGGAUGUAAUACGUUUCAUCCUUCUGGGUGGCUGAUAACCCCACAUAUUCAUGAUCUGGCCUCAAAUCAGGUAGGGCUACCCGCUGAACUUAAGCAUAUCAAUAAGCGGAGGAAAAGAAACUAACUAGGAUUCCCUUAGUAACGGCGAGUGAACCGGGAUGAGCUCAAAUUUAAAAUCUGGCGUCUUUCAGGCGUCCGAGUUGUAAUCUAUAGAGGCGUUUUCCGCGCCGGACCGCGUCCAAGUCUCUUGGAAUAGAGUAUCAAAGAGGGUGACAAUCCCGUACUUGACGCGACAACCGGUGCUCUGUGAUACGUUCUCAAUGAGUCGAGUUGUUUGGGAAUGCAGCUCUAAAUGGGUGGUAAAUUCCAUCUAAGGCUAAAUAUUGGCGAGAGACCGAUAGCGAACAAGUACCGUGAGGGAAAGAUGAAAAGCACUUUGGAAAGAGAGUUAAACAGCACGUGAAAUUGUUAAAAGGGAAACGAUUGAAGUCAGUCGUGUGAAAGGUAUUCAGCCGUCUCUGGCGGUGUAUUUGCCUUUCACGGGUCAACAUCAGUUUGAUCCGGUAGAAAAAGGCAGGAGGAAGGUGGCACCCUCGGGUGUGUUAUAGCCUCUUGUCAUAUGUGCCGGACCAGACUGAGGAACGCAGCUUGCCGCAAGGCCGGGGUUCGCCCACGUACAAGCUUAGGAUGUUGACAUAAUGGCUUUAAA
RNAcentral lists this ribosomal RNA (1142 nucleotides) under uncultured fungus. RNAcentral describes it as "eukaryotic LSU rRNA". The stretch from base 490 to 1142 matches the Rfam family "Eukaryotic large subunit ribosomal RNA", at positions 1 to 644 of the family's 3401-position model. Lineage: Eukaryota; Fungi. The record is from RNAcentral.